GGGCGAUUAGCUCAGUUGGUUAGAGCGCUACGUUGACAUCGUAGAGGUCAGCGGUUCAACUCCGUUAUCGCCCA
Molecule: transfer RNA, 74 nt
Filed under: Fidelibacterota bacterium
Lineage: Bacteria; Pseudomonadati; Fidelibacterota
Also listed under: 1 other name
Description: tRNA-Val
Rfam family: tRNA
About the family: Transfer RNA (tRNA) molecules are approximately 80 nucleotides in length. Their secondary structure includes four short double-helical elements and three loops (D, anti-codon, and T loops).
Source: RNAcentral